RNAcentral lists this ribosomal RNA (255 nucleotides) under uncultured bacterium. RNAcentral's name for it is "partial 16S ribosomal RNA". It matches the Rfam family "Bacterial small subunit ribosomal RNA", at positions 524 to 777 of the family's 1533-position model. The record is from RNAcentral.
UACGUAGGGUGCGAGCGUUAAUCGGAAUUACUGGGCGUAAAGCGUGCGUAGGCGGUUCGUUAUGUCUGCUGUGAAAUCCCCGGGCUCAACCUGGGAAUGGCAGUGGAAACUGGCGGGCUUGAGUGUGGCAGAGGGGGGGUGGAAUUCCGAGUGUAGAGGUGAAAUUCGUAGAUAUUCGGAAGAACACCAGUGACGAAGGCGACUCGCUGGACAAGUAUUGACGCUGAGGUGCGAAAGCGUGGGGAGCAAACAGGG